Long non-coding RNA from Drosophila montana, 429 nucleotides. RefSeq lists it as uncharacterized. The transcript is spliced from 3 exons. Lineage: Eukaryota; Metazoa; Arthropoda; Insecta; Diptera; Drosophilidae. The record is from RefSeq and is a predicted model, not a curated record.
AAAUUUUUUUCUGUGAGCCAUUAAAAAAAAAUGUUUUAAUUUUUUGACAAGAAGAAAAGCUGUUGGCAAUUAAAUAUAAGAAGGUUCUUUAUAGCGAGUAAUCACUGCCCGUUUCUUCACCAUGUCCUCGCACGUUCCUCAAAUAACUUCGGAUCAUAAGGAGCGCACUCUAGCGUCAGGCAUAUCAAGCUUAUGAAAACAUCGAUUCUACGUAAUUCUAUCGUAAAUACGAUAAAAUUCGUUAAGUGUGGACUCGAACGGCACAGUCGAGACGCCAACCAAAAUGUUGCGCCACCUGUUGCUUAAUGAGUGAACUGAUAUGACAUAUGGACUGCUUGAAAACUACUUUGUUUUGCACUGUUUAUGCACAAGACGUAACGUAGUGUUGAGCUCUUACGUUAAUUUUUGAAUUCGGAAACCUGCAAAUUC